RNAcentral lists this transfer RNA (72 nucleotides) under Camelus bactrianus (Bactrian camel). It matches the Rfam family "tRNA". From Rfam's summary of the family: Transfer RNA (tRNA) molecules are approximately 80 nucleotides in length. The record is from Rfam by way of RNAcentral. Lineage: Eukaryota; Metazoa; Chordata; Mammalia; Artiodactyla; Camelidae. RNAcentral also lists the same sequence under 2 other names.
GAGGGUAUAGCUCAGUGAUAGAGCACAUGCUUAGCAUGCGUGAAGUCCUGGGUUCAAUCUCCAGUAUCUCUG